RNAcentral lists this long non-coding RNA (588 nucleotides) under Androctonus crassicauda. The record is from RNAcentral. Lineage: Eukaryota; Metazoa; Arthropoda; Arachnida; Scorpiones; Buthidae.
CUGCCAACAAUACAGAUUUCUAUAACUGUAUACAUAGAUUAUUGACAUGUUAAAUAUAAAAAUAGUCCAUGAAAAACCAAUACAUAGUCAAUCUCAAAGAUCAGUUUGAACAUGCAAACCAGAACAUCAAAUACAUGUUAGGAACUUGUAUGGAAACAAAAUUAAAUUUUAAAGUGAUCGGAACGCUUGAACAAUGAAGAAUAGAGCUUUAAGAGGAUCAGAUGUCACCAUAUGAAGUGAGGGAGAGAUGUUUGGUAUUCCAAUAAAAAUGGGUAUUGCCAGCUCAGUUGUUCCACACGAUUUGAUAAAUAAUCUAAGCACCAAAGAUUUGGAAAUAGUGUUAAAUGCUAGAAAUGGAGGCAGGAGUUAUUCAGAAAAAAGAGAAAACAAUGGUCAAGAAAUGUCUCAUAGAAGUUACACAAGAAAACAGUACAGUUGGAUCAAGGAAUGAAUUUAACAAGGAUAUUGCAUUCAAUAAUAAUUGAAAUUGAAACAGCAGACUAAUUAGUCCCUUCUGAUAAGUGUGACAAAAUGCCAAUAACUACCAGAGAAGAUCUUAAAAUUCAAAUAAAGAAAAUGAAAUGCAAC